This 253-nucleotide ribosomal RNA is filed under the name uncultured bacterium. Its description in RNAcentral is "partial 16S ribosomal RNA". It matches the Rfam family "Bacterial small subunit ribosomal RNA", at positions 524 to 776 of the family's 1533-position model. The record is from RNAcentral.
UACGUAGGGUGCGAGCGUUAAUCGGAAUUACUGGGCGUAAAGCGUGCGCAGGCGGUGGCUCAAGCCAGGCGUGAAAUCCCCGGGCUUAACCUGGGAAUGGCGUUUGGGACUGGGUCGCUAGAGUGUGGCAGAGGGAGGUGGAAUUCCACGUGUAGCAGUGAAAUGCGUAGAGAUGUGGAGGAACACCCGUGGCGAAGGCAGGUCUCUGGGCCACUACUGACGCUGAGAAGCGAAAGCAUGGGGAGCGAACAGG